This 73-nucleotide transfer RNA is filed under the name bacterium. RNAcentral's name for it is "tRNA-Phe". It matches the Rfam family "tRNA". Rfam says of the family: Transfer RNA (tRNA) molecules are approximately 80 nucleotides in length. Their secondary structure includes four short double-helical elements and three loops (D, anti-codon, and T loops). The record is from RNAcentral. RNAcentral also lists the same sequence under 3 other names.
GCCGUUUUAGCUCAGUUGGUAGAGCAAGGGACUGAAAAUCCCUGUGUCCCUGGUUCAAUUCCUGGAGACGGCA